Molecule: ribosomal RNA, 1400 nt
Filed under: uncultured marine bacterium
Lineage: Bacteria
Description: bacterial SSU rRNA
Rfam family: Bacterial small subunit ribosomal RNA
Source: RNAcentral
GGGUCUAGCGCCCUUAGAGUUUGAUCCUGGCUCAGGAAGAAAAAGGGGGGGCGCCUUAUGCAUGCAAGUUGAGCGAAGCUUUUCAGUAGUUUACUACAAAAAAUGACUGAGCGGCGAAACGGGUGAGUAGCGCGUGAGCAAUCUACCUUUAGUUACUGGGAUAGCCCGAGGAAACUCGGAUUAAUACCGGAUAAUCUUAUUACAUCACAUGAUAUUUUAAGUAAAGGUCAGCCGAACUAAGAUGAGCUCGCGUUCUAUCAGCUAGUUGGUGGGGUAAAAGCCUACCAAGGCAACGACGGAUAGCUGGUCUGAGAGGACGAUCAGCCACACUGGGACUGAGACACGGCCCAGACUCCUACGGGAGGCUGCAGCAGGGAAUAUUGUGCAAUGAGCGAAAGCUUGACACAGCGACACCGCGGGUGGGAUGACGGUUCUAGGAUUGUAAACCACUUUCAGGAGGGAAGAAAAUGACGGUACCUCCACAAGAAGACCCGGCCAACUAUGUGCCAGCAGCCGCGGUAAUACAUAGGGGUCAAGCGUUGUCCGGAUUUAUUGGGCGUAAAGAGCUCGUAGGCGGUUCAACAAGUCGGUCGUAAAAGUUUAGGGCUCAACCCUAAAAUGUCGAUCGAUACUGUUGUGACUAGGAUACGGUAGAGGUGAAUGGAAUUCCGAGUGUAGCGGUGAAAUGCGUAGAUAUUCGGAAGAACACCAAUUGCGAAGGCAGUUCGCUGGACCGUGAUCGACGCUGAGGAGCGAAAGCUAGGGGAGCAAACAGGAUUAGAUACCCUGGUAGUCCUAGCUGUAAACGAUGGAUACUAGAUGUAGGAACUGGAUUGACGGUUUCUGUAUCGUAGCUAACGCGUUUAAGUAUCCCGCCUGGGGAGUACGGUCGCAAGACUAAAACUCAAAGGAAUUGACGGGACCCCGCACAAGCGGCGGAGCAUGCGGCUUAAUUCGAUGAUACCCGUAGAACCUUACCUGGACUUGACAUAUAGGGAAAAACUGGAGAAAUCCAGUGUGCGUAAGCGCCCUUUACAGGUGGUGCAUGGCUGUCGUCAGCUCGUGUCGUGAGAUGUUGGGUUAAGUCCCGCAACGAGCGCAACCCCUGUCCUAUGUUGCCAGCAAGUAAUGUUGGGGACUCAUAGGAGACUGCCGGUGAUAAACCGGAGGAAGGUGGGGAUGACGUCAAGUCAUCAUGCCCCUUAUGUCCAGGGCUGCACGCAUGCUACAAUGGCAAGUACAACGAGUCGCAAUACCGCGAGGUGGAGCAAAUCUCUUAAAGCUUGUCUCAGUUCGGAUAGGAGUCUGCAACUCGACUCCUUGAAGUUGGAGUCGCUAGUAAUCGCAAAUCAGCAAAGUUGCGGUGAAUACGUUCUCGGGGUUUGCACACACCGCCCGUC